UGUGCAUGUUGCAUAUUUAUGUGUACAGUUUCCGAUGUUUUCUGAUUAUGCUUUAGAAAUGAUUGAAUUUCUUGAAUAAUGUUGCUGUUUUAGGAGAUGAUUUGGUUUGGGAUUUUAAUUAUUUCAUAUUUAAUUUUUGAUUGAUCAAUGUCAAGGUUGUUCUCUUUUGUCAUAAUUUUUGAAUGAUCAAAUUAUUGAAAUUCUGUUUUGCAUACUAAAUCAAAUUCAACACCUCAUGCUUCGAACUUUAAAUGUUGCUAUUGUCUGUUUGAUUAUUCGUUAUGAGAUGAAUAACUCUUUCUCUGUUUUUGAAAUUGCAAUAAUAUUUUUGAAUUGAGGGUUGCACUGAUUUAGGGGGAGUCUUUCUGAUUUUGGUUAUAAAAGUUUUUGAGAGUCAAGAUGUGGAAAGAGUUACAUUCCUACUGGGAGUGUGAAAA
This 437-nucleotide long non-coding RNA is filed under the name Ananas comosus (pineapple). RNAcentral's name for it is "long non-coding RNA (ACOM_LNC030604)". Lineage: Eukaryota; Viridiplantae; Streptophyta; Magnoliopsida; Poales; Bromeliaceae. The record is from RNAcentral.